RNAcentral lists this ribosomal RNA (482 nucleotides) under uncultured bacterium. Its description in RNAcentral is "partial 16S ribosomal RNA". It matches the Rfam family "Bacterial small subunit ribosomal RNA", at positions 30 to 507 of the family's 1533-position model. The record is from RNAcentral.
AUUGAACGCUGGCGGCAUGCCUUACACAUGCAAGUCGAACGGUAACAGGUCUUCGGAUGCUGACGAGUGGCGAACGGGUGAGUAAUACAUCGGAACGUGCCCGAUCGUGGGGGAUAACGAGGCGAAAGCUUUGCUAAUACCGCAUACGAUCUACGGAUGAAAGCGGGGGAUCUUCGGACCUCGCGCGGACGGAGCGGCCGAUGGCAGAUUAGGUAGUGGGUGGGAUAAAAGCUUACCAAGCCGACGAUCUGUAGCUGGUCUGAGAGGAUGAUCAGCCACACUGGGACUGAGACACGGCCCAGACUCCUACGGGAGGCAGCAGUGGGGAAUUUUGGACAAUGGGCGAAAGCCUGAUCCAGCCAUGCCGCGUGCAGGAUGAAGGCCUUCGGGUUGUAAACUGCUUUUGUACGGAACGAAAAGCCUCUUUCUAAUAAAGAGGGGUCAUGACGGUACCGUAAGAAUAAGCACCGGCUAACUACGUG